GUGAACGAGCGGGACACGGAAAAUCAAAGAUCUGGACAGCAUGGACUUAUUCCUCAGAAGUCAUUCUAUAAGGGUACCAGGAGUAUGAGGAUCCUAAAUCCCUUCAAUUUAGUUACAUACAUCUGUGGAUGGAUAUACUGAACCACACAUCCAGCCUACCAAGUCAAGUAGCAGACAGAACAUCCCCCGGUGUAGAAACUCCAUUACGUCAGCAACAGAUGAACAGCCUCACAUUGGAAAUUACCGUUUACAAAAAACAAUAGGGAAGGG
Molecule: small RNA, 270 nt
Filed under: Pan troglodytes (chimpanzee)
Lineage: Eukaryota; Metazoa; Chordata; Mammalia; Primates; Hominidae
Description: processed transcript
Source: RNAcentral